CGUCGGUCGCCCUCGUGCGCCAACAGCCGCCUCCGACCGGCGGGAAGCACGCGCUGGAUUCCGUGGCAGAAAUUUAAACUUUAACGAUCCCUUAGAUGUGAAAUUAAAAAACAAAUCUUCUUCAAGCUUCACCUGUACGGGAGGGGACGUACACCGGAGGCUCUAACCGGACACCGGACGGAGAUCUGACCGACAAUGUGACGCUGUGGAGCGGCGACGGAGGAUUAUGUGUUCGGUCUGUACCGGAGGCUCUAAAAAUAGGCGAGUUUCGGUGCGCGGAGUGAAGCUGCUGCUCUGAAGAAGUGUUUUGCUCGUUAACGUCUCCGUGGUGGAUUAGGAGCGGAUACCGGAGGAUACCGAGGCUACCGGACCCAGGCUACCGGACCGGGCUGCUCCGGUGGGUGGAUGUUUGGAUGCUGCACUCAAGGACACCUUCUUCUCUUCUUCUGGGCUUCUAACCGGAGCAGGAUUUCUGCACACCGACGUUACCGGAAUUAGAGGCUCCGAGCGGCACUUUCUGUGUGGAUACCGUGGCUCGGCUCGGCUCACCGGACGGCUCCGGUACUUUGGAGCAUCCCGGGGAGGCUGCGGCUCCGUCCGUCCGCCCACCGGCGUCUCUUUUCAGGAUUUAUUCCACCGGCACCUGGAUCCAGUUGGUUUCGGUAUUUUUCUACCCUGACUGCGCGCGCGUCUGUUCAGCUUCUACCGCACACACGCACGCGCGCACAGAAGUCCCCAGAUCGGCUCCGAGCAGCCGGGAGUUGGAUAAGAGCUCCGUUUCUCCCGCCCGCUUUCUGGGCUUUUUGUGAUUUAAAACCGAGACCGGGAGUGAAGGAGGAUUUACCGGGGAGGAGCGGAGCCGCAGAUCGAUGAAGGUGUUGGGAAGGAUUGAUUUUGCCUCCAGAUGACAGACCGGAGAAGUUUCCUCCUCGCUCAGAAGAAGAACGAGGAGAAGAAGCUGCAAGAAUAUUAAAGAAUCCUGAUGCAACCUGUGGACAUCCUUCUUCUCCUUCCUGUUCAGGUGGAGGGCGUCCUCGUUAGCUCCUCGUCCCGUCGUCACCCCAAGGAGGACGGUGAUGUGACCGCACUGAGAAUCCUCCAGAACCUCAGGAAUAACUUUGACGGACAGCCGGCCGAGCCAAUGACAGGCCUUUUGGAUAUUUAACUCGUGCACAGUUUUAACGUGCGCACCUAGAGGACGUGCACGUGAACCCGGAUGAGCGCGGUGAGCAGAGGCCGGCCGCCCUCCCUGACAAAGAGGUAGGUUUUAAUAAUUCUAUAAUCAGCUGAGCCGAUGAUUGCUUCUGACUGGCUCGUUAGCGACGGAUCAGCUCUGAUUGGCUGAUUUUUAACAGCUGAAAAUAUGGUCUCGGCGGUAUUUAACGAGGAAGAACAUUUAAAUUCCAACUAUGAGGUGUUUCUGGACAACAGAAGUUGUGUACAUUCAAUUUACAUCAAUUUACAGAAGUACAGUUUUAACAGAUGGAAUUAUUUGGUCUAUCUGGUGCUAACUGAGGCUAACUUGAGCUCAAAGUCAGUGAUAGUUGCUAACAGGAGAUGAGGAGAUCUUUAUAAGGCUUUGCUAAUUAGAGCAAAUAGGAAUUAACAGAGGCUAAUAGGUGCUAACGGGAGCCAAGUGGACCUAACAGGAAAUAUCUGUAGGUAACAAACACUUACAGAGCUAAAAGGUGCUAACUAAAGCAGAUAGGAGCUAAAAUAUGCUAACAGGAGCCCAUUAAAGCCACCAGAAAUCAGUAGAAGCUAAUAGAAACCAGCAAGAGCUAACAGGAGAUGUCUGUCGCUAACAUGAGCUAAUAGGAUCUGUCGGGGGCUAACAUUAGCUAUCUGAUGCUAUCAGGUGGUAGCUGGAACUUACAAAAAGCUAAUUAGAGUUAACAAGUGCCCAAAAAAAAGAUUUAUUAAGAGCUAACAGGAGAUAUCUGUAGUUCACAAUUGCUAAUAGAAGACCUCAGCUACUUGAUGCUAACUGGAGCUUACAAAUGCUAAUAAGAGGUAACAAAGCUAAAAGGUACCAACAGGAGCUAAGUAGAGCUCAAUGGAUGCUAGAAGGAGCUAACAUAAGCCGAUAGGGUCUACUAGGAGUCACCUGUAACUAACAGGUGAUACUGUAGUUAGCAAGAGCUACUAGGUUCAUCAGGGGCUAACUUAAGCUAUCUGAUGCUAACAGGUGCUAACUGGAGCUUACAAAAGCUAAUUAGAGCAAACAAGAGCCAAAUGAAGCUAAAAAGAGCCAACAUAAGCUCAGCUGAACUGACUACAUGCUCAUAGGAGCAACUAGGAGCUAAGAGGAAAUUCACAAAAGCGGCUAAUAUAGGCUAUAUGGUGCUAACUGGGACUAACAAAUGCAAAUAAGAGCUAACACGACCCAAAUUAAGGUAAAAGGAACCAAUCGGAGCUAACUAGAGCUACAUGGAGCUAACAUACGCUGAGAUACAUGGAGCAAAAGAUGCUAAUAGGACCCAUCAGGAGCUAAUGGAAAAUAUCUGCAGUUAGCAAGAGCAUAAGAAGAUUCAUCAGGGCUAACAUCAGCGAUCUGAUGCUACCAGUUGCUAACUGGAGCAUACAAAUGCUAAUUAGAGGUAAGGAUGCUAAAAAGUACAGCCAUGAGCUAAGCAGAGCUAACUAGAUGCUAAUAGGAGUUAAUGAAAGCUCAUAGGAGCCACUAGGAGCUAACAGGAGAUAUCUGUAGUUCACAAAUGCUAACAGAUGCUUUCAGCUAUUUGAUGCUAACUGCAAAUGCUAAUAAAAGCUAACAGGAGCCAAAUGAAGCCAAAAAGCACCAAUAGGAGCUAACUAGAGCUACAUGGAUCAAAAAUAUGCUCAUAGGUUAUCUGAAGAUAACCUAUCUUCAGAUAUCUGAAGAUAAUGAAUGCUAUUACGAGCUAACAGGAGCCAAAUUAAGCUAAAAGGCAUCAGUUGCCGCUAAUUAGAGCUACGUGGAGCAAAAAUAUGCUAAUAGGUGCCACGAGGAGCUAAUAGAAGAUAUCUGUAGUACACAAAUGCUAAUAGAAACCUCAGUUACUUGAUGCUAACAGGUACUAACUGGACCUUUCAAAUGCUAACAGGAGCCAAAUGAAGCUAAAAGGCACCAAUACGAGCUAACUAGAGCUACGUGGAGCACAAAAUAUGCUAAUAGAUGCCACCAGGAGCUAACAGAAGCUAUGUGAAGGUCUAUUUAAAUGAUUAACAUUGUUUUGAGAAGAAAUAAGUUCAUAUUUUGCUUUUUUUCUUCUCAAUCAGGAAUUCAUUCAUUCUGAAGGGUUUACUGAAGAUGUCGCUCACUAUUUGUUUCUUUUGGACUGGACAAACUAUUGAGUGUGUGUUGUUGGGAAUAAAACGUUAUGUCAGGGUGAGUGGUAUUUAUGAGGCCUGUGGUCUGUCAGUGGCGAGAAUGUAGUGCAGUAUUUGGAAUAAAUAGACCCAGAGACUCUGUCAGCCGUUAAAGCAAGUCGAAUCCACAGCAGAAGACAAAUGACCCCGAAGAGAUUAAUAAGUUUAACUGGGUUGUUCAGGAUGUGACACCGAGACGCCGCUGUAAAAUAUCCUGUUUCCACUCAGUUGGAGCAGGUUUGAUGGAUUAAUGUUGGAUUUCCAUAGUUUGCCGUGUUGUACUUUAAAAAGUCGCCUGUUUAAAUUAAUUCUCUGCUCCAGCAGUAAUUUAAUCAUUUAUCGCUCGCAGUCACUUUUAUCUUGUUUCUGUCUAAUAGAGAUUCAUUAUGAACGGACUUAACAUAGAAAUAAUAAAGCUGCAAAGUUGUGCAGUUUCAGCGGUAUCACAUAAUCUAUCAGGAUUAAUGCUUAAAUCGAGUAAAUGUUGCUUUUCUCAUAGUUUCCACCCAACAGAUUUGUGAGUUGCUGUUGAAUUUUAGGAGAUUUUCCCCCAAAAAAAGGGAAAAAAAAAAAAAAAAAACUUGUCCUGAGUCCUGUUUUCUUGCAAUACCCAGCUUUAGUUUAAAAAAUAAAAGCAGACACUGUGGUUCAUUGUGCCCUCGCAUAAAAUAGAACUUAAACAUGCUAACAAGAGCCAGCUGGAGCUAAAAGGUGCUAACAGCAGCUCUUUGAAGCUAUAGAUAAGCUAAAAGAGAUCACCAGGAGCAAACAGGAGAUGUCUGUUGCUAACAGGUUCCAUCAACGUCUAGUAUUAGCUAUCUGAUGCUAACAAGUGCUAACUAAAGCAGAUAGUAGCUAACUGGAGCUAAGGGGAUGCUAACAGGAGCAGCUAUAGAUAAGCUUAAAGAGGUCACCAAGAGCCAACAGGAGAUAUCUGUCGCUAACAAGAGCUAACAAUAUCCAUCAGAGUCUAACAUUAGCCAUCUGACGCUAACAGGUGCUAACUAAAGCAGUGAGUAGCCAACAUGAGAUAACAAGAGCCAGCUGGACCUAAGGGAAUGCUAACAAGAGCCCCUUGAAGCUAUAUAUACACUAAUAGAGGCCACCAGGAGCUAACAGGAGAUGUUUGUCGCUAACAGGAGCUAACAGGAUCCAUCAGAGUCUAGUAUUAGCUAUCUGACACUAACAUGUGCUAGCAGGUGCUAACUAAAGCAGAUAGUAUCCAACAGGAGAGAGCCAACUGGAGCUAAGGGAAUGCUAACAUGAGCCCUUUGAAGCUAUAGAUAAGUGACCAGGAGCUAACGGAAGAUAUCUGUCAAUAACAGGAUACAUCAGAGUCUAGUAUUAGCUAUCUGACGCUAGCAGGUGCUAACUGAAGCAGACAGUAGCCAACAGGAGAUAACAAGAGCCAGCUGGUGCUAAAAGGUACUAACAUUAGCCCUUUGAAGCUCCCAGAAGCCAAUAGAAGCUAGCAAGUGAUAUCUGUGGCUACCAAGAACUUAAAGGAUCCAUCAGAGUCUAGUAUUAGUUAUCUGACGCUAAAAGGAGCUAACUAAAGCAGACAGUAACCAACAGGCGAUAAUAAGAGCCAACUGGAGCUAAGGGAAUGCUAACAGGAGCCCUUUGAAGCUCCCAGAAGCCAGUAGAAGCUAGCAGGUGAUAUCUGUGGCUACCAAGAGCUUAAAGGAUCCAUCAGAGUCUAGUAUUAGUUAUCUGACGCUAAAAGGAGCUAACUAAAGCAGACAGUAACCAACAGGCGAUAAUAAGAGCCAACUGGAGCUAAGGGAAUGCUAACAGGAGCCCUUUGAAGCUCCCAGAAGCCAGUAGAAGCUAGCAGGUGAUAUCUGUGGCUAACAAGAGCUCAGAGGAUCCAUCAGAGUCUAACAUUGGCUUUCUGAGAGCAACAGGUGCUAACAUAAGCCAAUAAGAGUCAACAAAAGCCAUCUGAAACUAAAGAGUGUCAACAGGAGCUCAGCAGAGCUAACUGGACAUCAGUAGGAGCUAAAAGAAGCUGAUAGGAGCUACUACAUACCACCAGGAGCUAACAAGUAAUAUCUGUUGCUAACAAGAGCUAAUUGGAACCAUCAGGGACUAACUUGAGUUAUCUGAUGUGCUAACUGGAGCUAACAGACACUAAUAAAAACUCACACGAGCCAAGUGAUGCUAAAAAGCCCAAAAAGGAGUUAGCCAGAGUUAAACAGACGCUAGGAGGAGCUAACAGAAGCUGAUAGGAGUUACUAGAAGCCACCUUUAGCUAAAGGGUGCUAACAGGAGCAAACCAGGCCUAACUGAAGCUAACAGACGCUAAUAUGAACUACUAGGUCCCACCAGGGCAGUCAGUAUCUGAAGUUAACAAGAAUUAACAGGAUUCAUCAGAGCCCAACAUGAGCUAUGUGAUGCUAACACAGGAUAACUGGUGCUACUAGAUGCCAAUAAGAGCUAUCAAGGGCCAAAUAAAGCUAAAAGAUGCCUACAAGAGUGAACCAGAGUUAUGCCAAUAGGAGCUAGCUGUAGUCAUUAGGAGCUAAUAGGAGCUAAAAGAGAUUGUCUGUACUUAAGAACAGCUAAUAACUAGCAUAGGCUACCUGAUGCUAACAGGUGCUAACUGGAGCUAAUAGAAGCUAAUAUGAACUAUUAGGAAUUAUCAAGAACUAAUGGCAUCAUUAGGGGAAAAGAUAAGCUACCUGAUAUUGGUACGGGCUAACUGUACCUACGGAAGUGAGCCAGAACUAUGGUAAUAGGACCUAGCUGGAGUCAUUAGGAGCUGAUAGGGAAUUUCUGGAGCUAAUAGAAGUUGUGUUUUUACUUAAGAGCUAAUUGGACCCAUCAGUGGCUAACAUAAGCCACUGAUGGGUGAUGCUAACAGGUGCUAACUGGAGCUAACAGUAGUGAAUAUGAACUGCUAGGAUUAAUCAAGAAUUAAAAGGAUUCAUCAGUGCAACAGGAAUGAACCACAGCUAUGCUAAUAGGAGCUAGCUGUAUUCAUUAGAAGCUAAUAGGGGAUUUCUGGCACUAAUAGAGGUUGUGUUUACUUAAGCAAAGCUAACAGGACUCAUCAGGGGCUAACAUGAGCUACCUGAUGCUAACACACGCUAACUGUAGCUACAGGAGUGAACAAGAGCUAUGCUAAUAGGAGCUAGCUGUCGUCAUUACGACCUAACAGGGGAUUUCUGGAGCUAACAGAAGUUAUGUUUACUUAAGCAAAGCUAAUAGGAUCCAUCAGGGGCUAACAUAAGCUACCUGAUGCUAAGACAGACUAACUGUAGCUACAGGAGUGAACCAGAGCUAUGCUAAUAGUAGCUAGCUGGAGUCAUUGGGAGCUAAUAGAAAUUAUGUUUACUUAAGCGGUAAUAGGACCUUUCAUGGGCUAACAUAAGCUCCCUGAUGUUAACAGGUGCUAACUGGAGCUAACAGAUGACCUACUAGGAGUUAUCAAGUACUAAUAGUAUUCAUUAGUGACUAACAUAAGCUACCUGAUGCGAACACAAGCUAACUGUAGCUACAGGAGUGAACCAGAGCUAUGCCAAUAGUAGCUAGCUAUAGUCAUUAGGAGCUAAUACUGGAUUUCUGGAGCUAACAGACGUUAUGUUUACUUUAACAGUGCUAGCAGAAGAAGCCUUUUUUUAUGGGUUAACGCUCAUAAAUCUGUAGCUCCAGCGGCCCGAUCGUGACCCCACUGAAGGCUUUUAUUCGCCAUCAUAAUCGAAGAAGAAAACAUUUGAAAUGGCUCGCAAUUACAGCGAGCAUCAGUGUGUGCGUGUGAGACAGCGGCGGAGGCUAAUGCAGCCUUAAUAGCCACAUUUAAUCCUUUGUUCUGACUGGAUCAUUUGAAGUGACUCCGACAAGCAAAUAGCUCCAUUAGGUAGCUAUAGAUCUCAUAACACACUCACACACACACCUACACACCACUGUUUCAUUAAUUCACACUCAUAUCUGUCCGAGUGCCGUCCAGGACUCUCCCAUCGCAGAUAAUUUGCUGCUGCAGGAGUUUGCAGCAGCAGUCUGACAGGCAUGAGCUGAGUAAUCAGGACAGACGAGAGCCACGAUAACGAGAGCCACGGUAACGAGAGCCACAGUAACGAGAGCCACGGUAACGAGAGCCACGGUAACGAGAGCUCCAAUAACGAGAGCUCCAACAGAGCCCCUAAUGACCAAACAGCAGAAGGAGGACUCACCUGCUCUGAUGGAAACUCACCUGAAAAGGAGAACAUUUCAGAAAUUCUUCCUGUUCUUCCAGAGCAGCUCCAUAAUGAACUCAUAAAUAGUCUCCAUUAAGCCUCCGUGUAGCAGCAGAUCUCUGCAGAGCAGCUGGGCAGAAGGCUGAAGGUGUUUUCAUCAUCACUACCUCCAUUAUACACCGUUCUGCUGCUGAACAUCCCUCUGGAACCUCAGACACUAACCACAAAGUCAGUGCAGCAAAAUGCAGCUUUUCCUGCUGACGUGUUGGUUAGAAAACCUUCAGAAAUGAACUAGACACAAAAUGGUGCAAACAAGACACAAAAUGACACAAAUGAGACACAAAAUUAUGCAAAUGAGACACAAAAUGACACAAAUGAGACAAAAUUAUCCAAAUGAGACACAAAAUUUCAGAAACAAGACACAAAACGACACAAGACACAUGAAAGUUAGAUGAGACACAAUUAUGACAUCAUACAUAAACAAUCCAACCAAUUUUAAACAAUUCUUCUAAACGACUGCAUUUUUAAUCUCUAAUUUUUUUUUUAAACCUACGUCAUAUCGUAGACAUUUUACUCAUUUUUAACAGCUUGGAUAUCUCUGCUACUCAGUUCUACAAACUCUGUUCUACUAAACUAGACACAAAAUGAUGCAAACAAGACAAAAAUAUACAAAAUUAUGGAAACGACACAAAAUGACACAAAAUUACGCAAAUGAGACAGAAAAUGACGCAAAACACAAAAUUAUGCAAAUGAAACACAAAAUGACACAACCGAGACACAAAACUUAAAGAACAAGACAAAAAAUUACACAAAAUUAUGCAAAUGAGACACAAAAGGACACAAAGUUGUGUAAAUUAGACACAAAAAUGACACAACCGAGACAAAAAACAUAACAAACAAGGCACAAAAUUACACAAAAAGACAAAAAAAUAUGCUAAAUUAUGGAAAUGAGACACAAAAUGACACCAACAAUACACAAAAUUAUGCAAAAUUAUACAAAUGAGAGUCAAAAUGACACAAAGUCAUAAAAUGACACAAAUUAUGCAAAUGAGACAAAAAGUUCUAAAGAUUCACAUUAAAAAAUUCUAGAAACUUUGGAGUUAAUUAAAGAGAGCUGGAUGGAAGUCAUUAACCACCAUUGAAGUCUUUGUCAUGGUGCCCGUUUUUAGCUAAACUCUAAAAGUCUUACAUCUCAAUAAACAUUAAGAGGCUUCAUUUAUCUUGAACAUCUCUAUCAAAUCCCUGAAACUAACACAUAAAGGUCAUAAAUAAAGUGAUUUCCCUCUGUCUGAUCUGAAUCCUCUAAACUCCUAACGAAGCCCGGGUCACCGUAUCGUUUAAUGUCAGCAGCUUUCCACGCUCUCGCUGAACGUUUCUGCUGCCUGAGCAUAAAAUAAUAAAAUAAACUGAGUCCAGGAGUUGUGCUGUUGAACAAAGCUCCAGUUUGUCAAUUAUAAUAGAAGAGUGGUGAUUCAGCAGCAGCAGACGGAGGAGCGAAUAAAGUCCUGGUGUGUCCUGCCCAGUGGUAGCAGUGUUUCAAUGAGACACAAAACGACACAAACGAGACACGAAACGACACAAACGAGGCACGAAACGACACAAACGAGACACAAAUGAGACACAAAACGACACAAACGAGACACAAACGAGAUACAAAACGAGACAAACGAGACACAAAACGACACAAACGAAACAUAAAAUGACAAAAACGAUAAAAAUGAGACACAAAACGACAAAAACGAGACACAAAACGACACAAACUAGACAUAAAAUGACAAAAACGAUAAAAAUGAGACAAACGAGACACAAAACGACACAAACAAGACACAAAACGAUACAAAUGAGACAUAAAAUGACACAAACGAGACAUAAAAUGACACAAACGAGACAUAAAAUGACAAAAACGAUAAAAAUGAGACAUAAACGAGACACAAAACGACAAAAAUGAGACACAAAACGACACAAACGAGACAUAAAAUGACAAAAACGAUAAAAAUGAGACAUAAACGAGACACAAAACGACAAAAAUGAGACACAAAAUGACACAAACGAGACAUAAAAUGACAAAAACGAUAAAAAUGAGACAUAAACGAGACACAAAACGACAAAAAUGAGACACAAAACGACACAAACGAGACAUAAAAUGACACAAACGAGACACGAAACGACACAAACAAGACACGAAACGACACAAACGAGACACGAAACGACACAAACGAGACACAAAACGACACAAACGAGACACAAAUGAGACACAAAACGACACAAACGAGACACAAACGAGAUACAAAACGAGACAAACGAGACACAAAAUGACACAAACAAGACACAAAACAACACAAACGAGACACAAAAUGACACAAACGAAACACAAAAUGACAAAAACGAUAAAAACGAGACAUAAACGAGACACAAAACGACAAAAACGAGACACAAAACGACACAAACGAGACAUAAAAUGACAAAAACGAUAAAAUGAGACAUAAACGAGACACAAAACGACAAAAACGAGACACAAAACGACACAAACGAGACAUAAAAUGACAAAAACGAUAAAAACGAGACAUAAACGAGACACAAAACGAGACACAAAACGACAAAAACGAGACACAAAACGACAUAAACGAGACAUAAAAUGACACAAAAGAGACACAAAACGACACAAACGAGACAUAAAAUGACAAAAACGAUAAAAACGAGACAUAAACGAGACACAAAACGACAAAAAUGAGACACAAAACGACACAAACGAGACAUAAAACGACAUAAACGAGACACAAAACGAGACAAACGAAACACAAAACAACACAAACGAGACACAAAACGACAAAAACGAGACACAAAAGAGACACAAAAUUACGUACACGAGACACAAAAUGAGACAUCUGACAGAUCGUUUCCAUGUAGUUUCUUGUUUUAUCUAUUUUUUUCCAUAUUUUACGUAUCCAGGCUCCAAACUGAGCUUUAUUGAGGCGAUGCAGCAAAGAUAACGACUAGAUUAAUAUAAAUAAAUUCAUUUUUGACCAUUUAAUAAAGAAAACAUCCAAUAUUCUUCAGUAAAUGAGCCCUUAAUUAAAUAAACUCGUUAGAAACAUUGAUUUAUUUCCCAUUUUCUUCAUUCUUUCCAUGUUGAAGGUGUUAUUUUAUUUCCUCUCUCUUUAAAGACUUUUCUAAUGAGUUCUUUGUCUUCCUGCUGUUUAACUCAUUUGCUUCACUCUGUUGUGUUUAUUUUGGGUUUUUUUAGUUGAAUAUUCUCUUUAAACGUGAGCGGUUGCCAGCGGCGAUAGCGUUCCUCCAGUGUUUCCGUCUGCGUUCCAGCGAUAGACCUUCCUGGCGUUUCAUUAUCAUUUAAUUGGCAGCGGAGUCUAUAAAUGCACGUUUAUUAUUUAACGGCGUCUGAAUGUGUUUCAGAAAUAAGAAGCUCUCCUCUUACGCUUUAUUAAAGUGGAAACUCCGGCCGCUUUUCAUAAAUAUUUACUGCUGGCCUCAGAACGGAUUGAAGGAAUGAUAAUGAGGAGAACUAAGCUGAAAGUUGGAGCAAAAACCAAACUGCUCUCAGAGAAAUGAGAGUUUCAGCUUUCACUGGGAAGAAAAAACAAAGUUUCAGAUGUUUUGUUCCACAGAAACGUCCUUUAAUCAACAGCUGAAGCUGAAAAUAUAAAAUGGAUUCCUCGGCUAGUUGUCAGAAUUUACAAAUUUAUAAAGAAAAGAAGCUUUAAGCUGAGAUCUGCUGUUAGUUUAUCAGAACAAAGAAAACUCUGAUAUUAGCAGUGAAAAACCAAACAAAUCUAGUUUAAAAAAAGAAGACAGAUUUUUACUCAUGAUUUUAUCUAUAAUCACUAUCAAACAGGGAAAACCGGUAUAAUACCUGUUUUUCUUUCCAAAAAAUGUUAUUUAAAAUGUAAAUUUUUACUGUAUCUUAAAGUCACUACAGGGAACUGUUGUUUUUCAUAUUUUCCGAUUAAUGAGUCAUUUUAGUCAAUUAUCUAGUUACUUUGGUCAAUUAUUGAGUCAUUUUUUAAUAAUUAUUGAGUCAUUUAAGACAAUUAUUGAGUAAUUUUGAAGAAUUAUUUU
Molecule: long non-coding RNA, 11603 nt
Organism: Amphiprion ocellaris (clown anemonefish)
Lineage: Eukaryota; Metazoa; Chordata; Actinopteri; Pomacentridae
Exons: 4
Source: RefSeq, a predicted model, not a curated record